GGUGGUUUCUUAAGUCUGAUGUGAAAGCCCACGGUUCAACCGUGGAGGGUCAUUGGAAACUGGGAGACUUGAGUGCAGAAGAGGAAAGUGGAAUUCCAUGUGUAGCGGUGAAAUGCGUAGAGAUAUGGAGGAACACCAGUGGCGAAGGCGACUUUCUGGUCUGUAACUGACACUGAGGCGCGAAAGCGUGGGGAGCAAACAGGAUUAGAUACCCUGAG
Molecule: ribosomal RNA, 218 nt
Filed under: Bacillus thuringiensis
Lineage: Bacteria; Bacillati; Bacillota; Bacilli; Caryophanales; Bacillaceae
Description: partial 16S ribosomal RNA
Rfam family: Bacterial small subunit ribosomal RNA
Source: RNAcentral